AUGCAUCAGCCGCCGGGUUUUGUGGAUCCUGCACGUCCUCAUCAUCCUUGUCGUCUUGUUAAGGCGCUAUAUGGACUUAAACAGGCUCCCCGUGCGUGGCAUGCUCGUCUUGGCUCUGUUCUUCGGGCGCUGGGGUUUCUUCCCUCCACAGCUGACACGUCCCUGUUUCUUCUUCAGCGUCCUGAGGUUACGAUGUAUCUACUGGUUUAUGUUGAUGAUAUCAUCCUCAUCAGUUCCUCCGAUGCCGCUGCUGAUCAUCUUGUGGCUGCCUUGAGUGGUGAUUUUGCUGUCAAGGACUUAGGUGCUCUGCACUUUUUCCUUGGUCUGGAGGUUUCGCGGUCUUCUGCUGGGUUGACUCUUACUCAGAAGAAGUAUUCUCUGGACUUGUUGCGUCGUGCUGGAAUGCUGAAGUGUAAACAUGUGAUCACUCCGAUGUCUGCUACUGAUCGGCUGUCUGCUCUUGAUGGAGAUCUUCUUCCACCUGAUGAUGCUACUGAGUAUCGUAGUCUCGUUGGUGGUCUGUAG
This 525-nucleotide ribosomal RNA is filed under the name Triticum aestivum (bread wheat). RNAcentral's name for it is "partial small subunit ribosomal RNA". The record is from RNAcentral. Lineage: Eukaryota; Viridiplantae; Streptophyta; Magnoliopsida; Poales; Poaceae.